Physeter macrocephalus (sperm whale) is the source of this 209-nucleotide long non-coding RNA. RefSeq lists it as uncharacterized. The record is from RefSeq and is a predicted model, not a curated record. Lineage: Eukaryota; Metazoa; Chordata; Mammalia; Artiodactyla; Physeteridae. The transcript is spliced from 3 exons.
GGGGCGGCCGCGCGUGGAUGCGGCGGGAGCCGGAAGCCUCGAGCAGCCGGCGCCGUCUCUGCCCCUGGGCGCCCUAUGGCUUGAAGAGAAUGGAAGAGAAAGAGGAGAAGGAAAGAGAAGAAAGGGUGGCAGAGCAGGCUGAGAAUUGCUCAAAAGCUGAUAUAUCACAUCCUAAAGGAACUGGGUUCCAGCACUCUGAAGAGACUGGA